Molecule: non-coding RNA, 681 nt
Filed under: Klebsiella pneumoniae IS39
Lineage: Bacteria; Pseudomonadati; Pseudomonadota; Gammaproteobacteria; Enterobacterales; Enterobacteriaceae
Description: LSU rRNA
Rfam family: Bacterial large subunit ribosomal RNA
Source: RNAcentral
GGUUAAGCGACUAAGCGUACACGGUGGAUGCCCUGGCAGUCAGAGGCGAUGAAGGACGUGCUAAUCUGCGAAAAGCGUCGGUAAGGUGAUAUGAACCGUUAUAACCGGCGAUGUCCGAAUGGGGAAACCCAGUGUGAUUCGUCACACUAUCGUUAACUGAAUACAUAGGUUAACGAGGCGAACCGGGGGAACUGAAACAUCUAAGUACCCCGAGGAAAAGAAAUCAACCGAGAUUCCCCCAGUAGCGGCGAGCGAACGGGGAGCAGCCCAGAGUCUGAAUCAGCUUGUGUGUUAGUGGAACGGUCUGGAAAGUCCGACGGUACAGGGUGAUAGUCCCGUACACCAAAAUGCACAGGCUGUGAACUCGAAGAGUAGGGCGGGACACGUGGUAUCCUGUCUGAAUAUGGGGGGACCAUCCUCCAAGGCUAAAUACUCCUGACUGACCGAUAGUGAACCAGUACCGUGAGGGAAAGGCGAAAAAGAACCCCGGCGAGGGGAGUGAAAAAGAACCUGAAACCGUGUACGUACAAGCAGUGGGAGCACCUUCGGGUGUGACUGCGUACCUUUUGUAUAAUGGGUCAGCGACUUAUAUUCUGUAGCAAGGUUAACCGUAUAGGGGAGCCGCAGGGAAACCGAGUCUUAACUGGGCGUUAAGUUGCAGGGUAUAGACCCGAAACCGGU